GACGAACGCUGGCGGCGUGCUUAGCACAUGCAAGUCGAACGGAAAGGCCCUGCUUUUGUGGGGUGCUCGAGUGGCGAACGGGUGAGUAACACGUGAGUAACCUGCCCUUGACUUUGGGAUAACUUCAGGAAACUGGGGCUAAUACCGGAUAGGAGCUCCUGCUGCAUGGUGGGGGUUGGAAAUUUUCGGCGGUUGGGGAUGGACUCGCGGCUUAUCAGCUUGUUGGUUGGGUAGUGGCUUACCAAGGCUUUGACGGGUAGCCGGCCUGAGAGGGUGACCGGCCACAUUGGGCCUGAGAUACGGAGCAGACUCCUACGGGAGGCAGCAGUGGGGAAUAUUGCACAAUGGGAGGAAGCCUGAUGCAGCAACGCCGCGUGCGGGAUGACGGCCUUCGGGUUGUAAACCGCUUUAGCCUGUGACGAAGCGUGAGUGACGGUAAUGGGUAAAGAAGCACCGGCUAACUACGUG
Molecule: ribosomal RNA, 468 nt
Filed under: uncultured bacterium
Lineage: Bacteria
Description: partial 16S ribosomal RNA
Rfam family: Bacterial small subunit ribosomal RNA
Source: RNAcentral